GACGAGGGAUCCUAGCGUUGUUCGGAAUUAUUGGGCGUAAAGCGGGUGUAGGCGGAUCUAUAAGUCAGGUGUGAAAUCCCAGGGCUCAACCCUGGAAGUGCACUUGAUACUGUAGAUCUUGAGUGUGGUAGAGGUUACUGGAAUUCCUGGUGUAGUGGUAAAAUACGUAGAUAUCAGGAGGAAUACCGGAGGCGAAGGCGAGUAACUGGGCCAACACUGACGCUGAGACCCGAAAGCGUGGGGAUCAAACAGG
RNAcentral lists this ribosomal RNA (253 nucleotides) under uncultured bacterium. RNAcentral's name for it is "partial 16S ribosomal RNA". It matches the Rfam family "Bacterial small subunit ribosomal RNA", at positions 524 to 776 of the family's 1533-position model. The record is from RNAcentral.